UACGAGGGGGGCUAGCGUUAUCCGUCUUGAAUGGGCCUAAAGUGUCUGUAGGCUGCUUGUAAAGGUAAAAGUAUUACAACUAGCAGCUAGAGUGGAAUUGGGGAAUCAGGGAACUCCAGGAGUAGGGAUAGAAUCCGGUGAUCCCUGGAAGACCGCUAUGGCGAAGGCCCUAUUCUAAGUAACCACUGACGCUGAGAGACUAGAGUGUGGGAGCGAAGAGG
This 221-nucleotide ribosomal RNA is filed under the name uncultured bacterium. RNAcentral describes it as "partial 16S ribosomal RNA". It matches the Rfam family "Bacterial small subunit ribosomal RNA", at positions 524 to 776 of the family's 1533-position model. The record is from RNAcentral.